AGUGAACGCUGGCGGUAGGCCUAACACAUGCAGGUCGAACGGCAGCACAGUAAGAGCUUGCUCUUACGGGUGGCGAGUGGCGGACGGGUGAGGAAUACAUCGGAAUCUACUUUUUCGUGGGGGAUAACGUAGGGAAACUUGCGCUAAUACCGCAUACGACCUACGGGUGAAAGCAGGGGAUCUUCGGACCUUGCGCGAUUGAAUGAGCCGAUGUCGGAUUAGCUAGUUGGCGGGGUAAAGGCCCACCAAGGCGACGAUCCGUAGCUGGUCUGAGAGGAUGAUCAGCCACACUGGAACUGAGACACGGUCCAGACUCCUACGGGAGGCAGCAGUGGGGAAUAUUGGACAAUGGGCGCAAGCCUGAUCCAGCCAUACCGCGUGGGUGAAGAAGGCCUUCGGGUUGUAAAGCCCUUUUGUUGGGAAAGAAAAGCAGCAGGUUAAUACCCCGCUGUUCUGACGGUACCCAAAGAAUAAGCACCGGCUAACUUCGUG
Molecule: ribosomal RNA, 492 nt
Filed under: uncultured bacterium
Lineage: Bacteria
Description: partial 16S ribosomal RNA
Rfam family: Bacterial small subunit ribosomal RNA
Source: RNAcentral